This 1015-nucleotide ribosomal RNA is filed under the name Lecanicillium pissodis. Its description in RNAcentral is "SSU rRNA". It matches the Rfam family "Eukaryotic small subunit ribosomal RNA", at positions 79 to 1105 of the family's 1831-position model. RNAcentral also lists the same sequence under 2 other names. Lineage: Eukaryota; Fungi; Ascomycota; Sordariomycetes; Hypocreales; Cordycipitaceae. The record is from RNAcentral.
CAGCGAAACUGCGAAUGGCUCAUUAUAUAAGUUAUCGUUUAUUUGAUAGUACCUUACUACUUGGAUAACCGUGGUAAUUCUAGAGCUAAUACAUGCUAAAAAUCCCGACUUCGGAAGGGAUGUAUUUAUUAGAUUAAAAACCAAUGCCCUCUGGGCUCCUUGGUGAUUCAUAAUAACUUUUCGAAUCGCAUGGCCUUGCGCCGGCGAUGGUUCAUUCAAAUUUCUUCCCUAUCAACUUUCGAUGUUUGGGUAUUGGCCAAACAUGGUCGCAACGGGUAACGGAGGGUUAGGGCUCGACCCCGGAGAAGGAGCCUGAGAAACGGCUACUACAUCCAAGGAAGGCAGCAGGCGCGCAAAUUACCCAAUCCCGAUUCGGGGAGGUAGUGACAAUAAAUACUGAUACAGGGCUCUUUUGGGUCUUGUAAUUGGAAUGAGUACAAUUUAAAUCCCUUAACGAGGAACAAUUGGAGGGCAAGUCUGGUGCCAGCAGCCGCGGUAAUUCCAGCUCCAAUAGCGUAUAUUAAAGUUGUUGUGGUUAAAAAGCUCGUAGUUGAACCUUGGGCCUGGCUGGCCGGUCCGCCUCACCGCGUGUACUGGUCCGGCCGGGCCUUUCCCUCUGUGGAACCUCAUGCCCUUCACUGGGUGUGGCGGGGAAACAGGACUUUUACUUUGAAAAAAUUAGAGUGCUCCAGGCAGGCCUAUGCUCGAAUACAUUAGCAUGGAAUAAUGAAAUAGGACGUGUGGUUCUAUUUUGUUGGUUUCUAGGACCGCCGUAAUGAUUAAUAGGGACAGUCGGGGGCAUCAGUAUUCAAUUGUCAGAGGUGAAAUUCUUGGAUUUAUUGAAGACUAACUACUGCGAAAGCAUUUGCCAAGGAUGUUUUCAUUAAUCAGGAACGAAAGUUAGGGGAUCGAAGACGAUCAGAUACCGUCGUAGUCUUAACCAUAAACUAUGCCGACUAGGGAUCGGACGAUGUUAUUUUUUGACGCGUUCGGCACCUUACGAGAAAUCAAAGUG